RNAcentral lists this ribosomal RNA (468 nucleotides) under uncultured bacterium. RNAcentral's name for it is "partial 16S ribosomal RNA". It matches the Rfam family "Bacterial small subunit ribosomal RNA", at positions 28 to 507 of the family's 1533-position model. The record is from RNAcentral.
GACGAACGCUGGCGGCGUGCUUAACACAUGCAAGUCGAACGGAAAGGCCCUGCUUUUGUGGGGUGCUCGAAUGGCGAACGGGUGAGUAACACGUGAGUAACCUGCCCUUGACUUUGGGAUAACUUCAGGAAACUGGGGCUAAUGCCGGAUAGGAGCUCCUGCUGCAUGGUGGGGGUUGGAAAGUUUCGGCGGUUGGGGAUGGACUCGCGGCUUAUCAGCUUGUUGGUGGGGUAGUGGCUUACCAAGGCUUUGACGGGUAGCCGGCCUGAGAGGGUGACCGGCCACAUUGGGACUGAGAUACGGCCCAGACUCCUACGGGAGGCAGCAGUGGGGAAUAUUGCACAAUGGGCGGAAGCCUGAUGCAGCAACGCCGCGUGCGGGAUGACGGCCUUCGGGUUGUAAACCGCUUUCGCCUGUGACGAAGCGUGAGUGACGGUAAUGGGUAAAGAAGCACCGGCUAACUACGUG